GCAUUAACUUUCGGGGCAGUUCACUACUCGACAGAGAGUAGGACAAAAGCGAAAGCUUUUGAACGUUGCGAAGCAACGGCCCGAAGGGUGAAUCACGAAGUGAUUCAUAAACUGCCAGGCAUCAA
This 125-nucleotide small RNA is filed under the name Salmonella enterica subsp. enterica serovar Heidelberg str. B182. Its description in RNAcentral is "RtT". Lineage: Bacteria; Pseudomonadati; Pseudomonadota; Gammaproteobacteria; Enterobacterales; Enterobacteriaceae. The record is from RNAcentral.